CCUACGGGAGGCAGCAGUGGGGAAUAUUGGGCAAUGGGCGCAAGUCUGACCCAGCAACGCCGCGUGAAGGAAGAAGGCUCUCGGGUUGUAAACCUCUUUUUUUAGGGACGAAGCAAGUGACGGUACCUGAGGAAUAAGCCUCCGCUCACUACGUGCCAGCAGCCGCGGUUAUACGUAGGCGGCAGGCGUUAUCCGGAUUUACUGGGUGUAAAGGGCGUGUAGGCGGGAAAGUAAGUCAGAUGUGAAAAGCAUGGGCUCAACCUGUGGCCUGCAGUUGAAACUGUUUGUCUUGAGUACGGGAGAGGUAGACGGAAUUCGUGGUGUAGCGGUGAAAUGCGUAGAUAUUAGGAGGAACACCGGUGGCGAAGGCAGUCUGCUGGACAGCAACUGACGCUGAGGCGCGAAAGCGUGGGGAGCGAACAGGAUUAGAUACCCUUGUAGUC
Molecule: ribosomal RNA, 443 nt
Filed under: uncultured bacterium
Lineage: Bacteria
Description: partial 16S ribosomal RNA
Rfam family: Bacterial small subunit ribosomal RNA
Source: RNAcentral